UACGUUCCCGGGCCUUGUACACACCGCCCGUCAAGCCAUGGAAGCUGGGGGUGCCUGAAGUCGGUGACCGCAGGGAGCUGCCUAGGGUAAAACUAGUAACUAGGGCU
RNAcentral lists this ribosomal RNA (107 nucleotides) under uncultured bacterium. RNAcentral describes it as "partial 16S ribosomal RNA". It matches the Rfam family "Bacterial small subunit ribosomal RNA", at positions 1367 to 1482 of the family's 1533-position model. The record is from RNAcentral.